Long non-coding RNA from Carcharodon carcharias (great white shark), 619 nucleotides. RefSeq lists it as uncharacterized. NCBI's taxonomy places the organism in Eukaryota, Metazoa, Chordata, Chondrichthyes, Lamniformes, Lamnidae. The record is from RefSeq and is a predicted model, not a curated record. The transcript has 2 exons.
GAUCAUGGGUGGUGAUCAGCACCGCGCCCGCCCCCGCCCAGCUCGCCCACCAUAGAUAGAAGUGGAAAACAGGAUUGUUAGGAAACAGGUGGAUCAUCUCAGAAGUCAAGAAAUCCUCCAACAAUCGAUUAAUCCACCUGAAAUCAAAGUCAAAACUUCGACCCCCGAGGUGCCAGAUCGACAAAGAAUAGACGUACCUGGUACCUCUCCUGAAGUAUAUAAUUCUGAACUGCCAUUGUCUAGGCAUGUCCCUGAAGCUGCAGUUCCUGCUCAAGUUGAUCCAGUGGAAGAACCUCCAGUUGUAGAGUUGUGUCGCUCUACCUGAAUCUGAAGAAUUCCUUAAAAACUAAAUUUAUAAUGGCAUUAUAAAAUGUAUAUCAUUGUAUAUAAUAUGGAUUAAGAUGUUUUUGUAAAUAAGAGGGUAAAACAAAACUAAAGGGGGAGGAAUGUAGUAAUUGUAAGGUAAACCAUUUCUGACUGCUAUGGGGAUCAUGUGACUAUAUAGAUUAAUCAGUCCUAAGCACAGGGAAUCUUAGGGCUGGAGCUUUUUAGCCUUGGUCUUGGAACAAGCAUGUAAUCUCAUCUGGAGUCUGUAAAUAAAGUUUACUAUUUCUUACAA